UGCAUUCACUACUGUAACUCACUCUGGAUAAGAGCGUCUGCUAAAUGACUAAAA
Salmo salar (Atlantic salmon) is the source of this 54-nucleotide non-coding RNA. The record is from Rfam. NCBI's taxonomy places the organism in Eukaryota, Metazoa, Chordata, Actinopteri, Salmoniformes, Salmonidae.